CCUACGGGAUGCACCAGUGGGGAAUUUUCCGCAUUGGGCGAAAGCCUGACGGAGCAAUGCCGCGUGGAGGUAGAAGGCCCACGGGUCGUGAACUUCUUUUCCCGGAGAAGAAGCAAUGACGGUAUCUGGGGAAUAAGCAUCGACUAACUCUGUGCCAGCAGCCGCGGUAAUACAGAGGAUGCAAGCGUUAUCCGGAAUGAUUGGGCGUAAAGCGUCUGUAGGUGGCUUUUUAAGUCCGCCGUCAAAUCCCAGGGCUCAACCCUGGACAGGCGGUGGGGACUACCAAGCUGGAGUACGGUAGGGGCAGAGGGAAUUUCCGGUGGAGCGGCGAAAUGCGUAGAGAUCGGAAGGAACACCAACGGCGAAAGCACUCCGCUGGGCCGACACUGACACUGAGAGACGAAAGCUAGGGGAGCGAAUGGGAUUAGAUACCCUCGUAGUC
Molecule: ribosomal RNA, 442 nt
Filed under: uncultured bacterium
Lineage: Bacteria
Description: bacterial SSU rRNA
Rfam family: Bacterial small subunit ribosomal RNA
Source: RNAcentral